CUGCCCAAAACACCUAGCUAUGCCACACCCACAAGGGAAUUCAGCAGUGAUUAACAUUGAGCAUUAGCGCAAGCUUGACUCAGUCAAAGUAAACAGAGCCGGCUAAUCUGGUGCCAGCCGCCGCGGUUACACCACGUGGCUCAAGUCGACCUCCUCCGGCGUAAAGCGUGAUUAAAGUUACACACCACUAGAGUAAAAUUAAAACUGAGCUGUGACACGCCUGUUUAUUAAGAAACUCGAAAACGAAAGUUACUCUAAUUUAAUCAACUUGAAUUCACGACAGCUGGGGAACAAACUGGGAUUAGAUACCCCACUAUGCCCAGCCGUAAACUUUUAUUUACACUCAAAUCGCCAGGGAACUACGAGCUAAGCUUAAAACCCAAAGGACUUGACGGUACCCCACAUCCCCCUAGAGGAGCCUGUCCUAUAAUCGAUAAUCCACGUUUAACCUCACCAUUUUUAGUUAAUCAGCCUGUAUACCUCCGUCGUCAGCUUACCCCGUGAGCGUCAAUUAGUGAGCUUAAUGUUAUUUCACCAAUACGUCAGGUCAAGGUGCAGCAAAUGAAAUGGAAAGAGAUGGGCUACACUUUCUAUAUUAGAAGAAACGAAAAACUAUUUAUGAAACCUAGUUAGAAGGCGGAUUUAGCAGUAAAAAGGAAUCAGCAUGUCCAUUUUAACCCGGCACU
This 686-nucleotide ribosomal RNA is filed under the name Strauchbufo raddei (Mongolian toad). RNAcentral's name for it is "partial small subunit ribosomal RNA". It matches the Rfam family "Bacterial small subunit ribosomal RNA", at positions 327 to 1375 of the family's 1533-position model. The record is from RNAcentral. Lineage: Eukaryota; Metazoa; Chordata; Amphibia; Anura; Bufonidae.